UACGUAGGAGGCGAGCGUUGUCCGGAGUUACUGGGCGUAAAGCGUGCGCAGGCGGUUCGUCGUGUCCGAUGUGAAAGCCCCGGGCUCAACCUGGGAAUGGCAUUGGAAACUGGCGGACUCGAGUGUGGCAGAGGGGGGUGGAAUUCCGCGUGUAGCAGUGAAAUGCGUAGAGAUGCGGAGGAACACCGAUGGCGAAGGCAGCCCCCUGGGCUAACACUGACGCUCAGGCACGAAAGCGUAGGGAGCAAACAGG
Molecule: ribosomal RNA, 253 nt
Filed under: uncultured bacterium
Lineage: Bacteria
Description: partial 16S ribosomal RNA
Rfam family: Bacterial small subunit ribosomal RNA
Source: RNAcentral